GACGAACGCUGGCGGCGUGCUUAACACAUGCAAGUCGAGCGGUAAGGCCCUUUCGGGGGUACACGAGCGGCGAACGGGUGAGUAACACGUGGGUGACCUGCCCUCAGCUCUGGGAUAAGCCUGGGAAACCGGGUCUAAUACUGGAUAUGACUCCAUGACGCAUGUUGUGGGGUGGAAAGCCUUGUGCGGCUGAGGAUGGGGCCCCGCGGCCUAUCAGCUUGUUGGUGGGGUGANGG
Molecule: ribosomal RNA, 236 nt
Filed under: uncultured bacterium
Lineage: Bacteria
Description: partial 16S ribosomal RNA
Rfam family: Bacterial small subunit ribosomal RNA
Source: RNAcentral